This 1641-nucleotide ribosomal RNA is filed under the name metagenome. Its description in RNAcentral is "bacterial LSU rRNA". It matches the Rfam family "Bacterial large subunit ribosomal RNA", at positions 1207 to 2838 of the family's 2925-position model. The record is from RNAcentral.
AAUCCCCUUUGGGGAUUGGGUAGGGGAGCGUUCGCUGCGGGCUGAAGGUGUGCCGGAAGGCAUGCUGGACUGCAGUGAAGUGAUUAUGCUGACAUGAGUAACGAUAAAAUAUGUGAAAAACAUAUUCGCCGAAAACCCGAGGUUUCCUGGGUAAAGGUAAUCUUCCCAGGGUUAGUCGGAUCCUAAGGUGAGGGUGAAAGCCGUAACCGAUGGAAAACAGGUUAAUAUUCCUGUACUUGUUGUGUAGCGCGAUGGAGGGACGCAGGAAGAUAGGCGGGCCGGGGGUUGGAUAUCCCGGGGCAAGCGUGUAGGAAUAUCCGGUAGGCAAAUCCGCCGGACGAAUCUGAGACGCGAGUCCGUGGGCGCAAGCCCUGAAGCCGUUGAGUCUAUGCUGCCUAGAAAAGCUCCUAAGUUUAUCCACAGCAAUCCGUACCGCAAACCAACUCAGGUGGGUGGGAUGAACAAUCCAAGGCGCUCGAGAGAACUCUGGCCAAGGAACUCGGCAAAAUAACCCCGUAACUUCGGAAGAAGGGGUGCUCUCUAGGGUGACAUGUUUAACAUAUGAAGCCCCGGGGAGCCGCAGUGAAUUGGUGGUGGCGACUGUUUACUAAAAACAUAGGUCUGUGCGAAGUCCUAAAGACGACGUAUACGGACUGACGCCUGCCCGGUGCUGGAAGGUUAAAAGGAGGGGUCAGCGCAAGCAAAGCUCCGAAUUGAAGCCCCAGUAAACGGCGGCCGUAACUAUAACGGUCCUAAGGUAGCGAAAUUCCUUGUCGGGUAAGUUCCGACCUGCACGAAUGGCGUAACGAUCUCCACACUGUCUCGGCCAGAGACUCGGUGAAAUUGCAGUCGCGGUGAAAAUUCCGUGUACCCGCAGAAAGACGGAAAGACCCUGUGCACCUUUACUAUAGCUUGACAUUGGAUUUUGGGCCUGCAUGUGUAGGAUAGGUGGGAGGCUGUGAACCCUGUACGCCAGUAUGGGGGGAGCCAUCCUUGAAAUACCACCCUUGCAUGUUUAAGAUCCUAACUUCUUCCGGUUAUCCCGGAGAAAGACAGUGUCUGGCGGGUAGUUUGACUGGGGCGGUCGCCUCCUAAAGUGUAACGGAGGCAUGCAAAGGUUCCCUCAGCCUGAUCGGAAACCAGGCGUUGAGUGCAAACGCAUAAGGGAGCUUGACUGUAAGAGAGACAUCUCGAACAGGAACGAAAGUUGGCGUUAGUGAUCCGGUGGUCCCGAAUGGAAGGGCCAUCGCUCAUUGGAUAAAAGGUACGCCGGGGAUAACAGGCUGAUCGCAUCCAAGAGUUCACAUCGACGAUGCGGUUUGGCACCUCGAUGUCGGCUCAUCACAUCCUGGGGCUGAAGUAGGUCCCAAGGGUAUGGCUGUUCGCCAUUUAAAGUGGUACGCGAGCUGGGUUUAGAACGUCGUGAGACAGUUCGGUCCCUAUCUGCCGUGGGCGCUGGAGAAUUGAGGGGGGCUGCUCCUAGUACGAGAGGACCGGAGUGGACGCAUCACUGGUGUUCGGGUUGUCAUGCCAAUGGCACUGCCCGGUAGCUAAAUGCGGAAGAGAUAAGUGCUGAAAGCAUCUAAGCACGAAACUUGCCAAGAGAUGAGUUCUCCCUGUCUUUAAGACAGUAAGGGUUGU